This 416-nucleotide ribosomal RNA is filed under the name uncultured Funneliformis. RNAcentral's name for it is "partial 28S ribosomal RNA". Lineage: Eukaryota; Fungi; Glomeromycota; Glomeromycetes; Glomerales; Glomeraceae. The record is from RNAcentral.
GAGAGUUAAACAGUACGUGAAAUUGUUGAAAGGGAAACGAUUGAAGUCAGUCAUACCAACGGGAAAUCAACCUCUUGAGUUUGGUCUCGUGGGUUUCGAAGAGUUUUAAAAGCCUUCGGAUUUUCGAGAUUGGGCUCUUCUGGUGUACUUUCUCGUACAGUUAGUCAACAUCGCUUUUGAAUGUCAUAAAAUGACUGGAGGAAUGUGGCUUCGAUCUCGUAUUGAAGUGUUAUAGCCUUUGGUAGAUGUGAUGUUCGAGACCGAGGAUUGCAACGGAUACCCUUCUGGGCUAUUCGUCUGAUCUCUGAAACGUUGCCUUGAUGUCGAAAGCUUGCUUAUGAUGUUAAGGGUAUUACGGUCAAAAGGUUAGAACGGAUUAAAUUCGUUAAGGAUGUUGACGUAAUGACUUUAAACGA